This 253-nucleotide ribosomal RNA is filed under the name uncultured prokaryote. RNAcentral's name for it is "partial 16S ribosomal RNA". It matches the Rfam family "Bacterial small subunit ribosomal RNA", at positions 524 to 776 of the family's 1533-position model. The record is from RNAcentral.
GACAGAGGUGCCAAGCGUUAGGCGGAAUCACUGGGCUUAAAGCGUGUGUAGGCGGACUUCUAAGUACCUUGUGAAAUCCCACGGCUUAACCGUGGAACUGCUGGGUAUACUGCUUAUCUUGGGCCAUCUAGGGGCGAGCGGAACAAGUGGUGGAGCGGUGAAAUGCGUAGAUAUCACUUGGAACGCCAAUGGUGAAAACAGCUCGCUGGGGGUGUGCUGACGCUGAGACACGAAAGCCAGGGGAGCAAACGGG